This 559-nucleotide ribosomal RNA is filed under the name Salmonella enterica subsp. enterica serovar Rubislaw str. SA20030553. Its description in RNAcentral is "bacterial LSU rRNA". It matches the Rfam family "Bacterial large subunit ribosomal RNA", at positions 2388 to 2925 of the family's 2925-position model. Lineage: Bacteria; Pseudomonadati; Pseudomonadota; Gammaproteobacteria; Enterobacterales; Enterobacteriaceae. The record is from RNAcentral.
CGCGAGCAGGUGCGAAAGCAGGUCAUAGUGAUCCGGUGGUUCUGAAUGGAACGGGCCAUCGACUCAACGGAUAAAAGGUACUACCGGGGAUAACAGGCUGAUACCGCCCAAGAGUUCAUAUCGACGGCGGUGUUUGGCACCUCGAUGUCGGCUCAUCACAUCCUGGGGCUGAAGUAGGUCCCAAGGGUAUGGCUGUUCGCCAGUUUAAAGUGGUACGCGAGCUGGGUUUAGAACGUCGUGAGACAGUUCGGUCCCUAUCUGCCGUGGGCGCUGGAGAACUGAGGGGGGCUGCUCCUAGUACGAGAGGACCGGAGUGGACGCAUCACUGGUGUUCGGGUUGUCAUGCCAAUGGCACUGCCCGGUAGCUAAAUGCGGAAGAGAUAAGUGCUGAAAGCAUCUAAGCACGAAACUUGCCCCGAGAUGAGUUCUCCCUGAGACUUUAGGUCUCCUGAAGGAACGUUGAAGACGACGACGUUGAUAGGCCGGGUGUGUAAGCGCAGCGAUGCGUUGAGCUAACCGGUACUAAUGAACCGUGAGGCUUAACCUUACAACGCCGAAG